RNAcentral lists this transfer RNA (74 nucleotides) under Dipodomys ordii (Ord's kangaroo rat). It matches the Rfam family "tRNA". From Rfam's summary of the family: Transfer RNA (tRNA) molecules are approximately 80 nucleotides in length. Their secondary structure includes four short double-helical elements and three loops (D, anti-codon, and T loops). The record is from Rfam by way of RNAcentral. Lineage: Eukaryota; Metazoa; Chordata; Mammalia; Rodentia; Heteromyidae.
GGGGGGGGGGCUUUAAGUGGUGCAGCACUUGCCUAGCAAGCAUGAGACCCUGGGUUCGAAUCCUAGUACUACCA